UGUACCUACGGGACGCAGCAGUGAGGAAUAUUGGUCAAUGGCCGAGAGGCUGAACCAGCCAAGUCGCGUGAGGGAUGACGGCCCUACGGGUUGUAAACCUCUUUUGCCGGGGAGCAAAGAGCGGGACGCGUCCCGCCUCGAGAGUACCCGGAGAAAAAGCAUCGGCUAACUCCGUGCCAGCAGCCGCGGUAAUACGGAGGAUGCGAGCGUUAUCCGGAUUUAUUGGGUUUAAAGGGUGCGUAGGCGGAAUGCCAAGUCAGCGGUAAAAUCGCGGGGCUCAACCUCGCUCCGCCGUUGAAACUGGC
RNAcentral lists this ribosomal RNA (305 nucleotides) under uncultured bacterium. Its description in RNAcentral is "bacterial SSU rRNA". It matches the Rfam family "Bacterial small subunit ribosomal RNA", at positions 335 to 637 of the family's 1533-position model. The record is from RNAcentral.